CCCUUAGAUGUCCGGGGCCGCACGCGCGCUACACUGAAGGAAUCAGCGUGGCUUUCUCCCUGACCCGAAAGGGUUGGGAAACCCGUCGAAUCUCCUUCGUGAUAGGGAUUGGGGCUUGAAAUUGUUCCCCAUGAACGAGGAAUUCCCAGUAAGCGCGAGUCAUAAGCUCGCGUUGAUUACGUCCCUGCCCUUUGUACACACCGCCCGUCGCUACUACCGAUUGAACGGUUUAGUGAGGGCCUCGGAUUGGUCUCGGCCCGCUCUUUACCGGGCGGCGCCGUUGGUCGAGAAGACGCUCGAACUUGAUCGUUUAGAGGAAGUAAAAGUCGUAACA
Molecule: ribosomal RNA, 334 nt
Filed under: uncultured eukaryote
Lineage: Eukaryota
Description: partial 18S ribosomal RNA
Rfam family: Eukaryotic small subunit ribosomal RNA
Source: RNAcentral